UGGGGAAUAUUGCACAAUGGGCGCAAGCCUGAUGCAGCAACGCCGCGUGAGGGAUGACGGCCUUCGGGUUGUAAACCUCUUUUAGCAGGGAAGAAGCGAAAGUGACGGUACCUGCAGAAAAAGCGCCGGCUAACUACGUGCCAGCAGCCGCGGUAAUACGUAGGGCGCAAGCGUUAUCCGGAAUUAUUGGGCGUAAAGAGCUCGUAGGCGGUUUGUCGCGUCUGCUGUGAAAUCCCGAGGCUCAACCUCGGGUCUGCAGUGGGUACGGGCAGACUAGAGUGCGGUAGGGGAGAUUGGAAUUCCUGGUGUAGCGGUGGAAUGCGCAGAUAUCAGGGGGAACACCGAUGGCGAAGGCAGAUCUCUGGGCCGUAACUGACGCUGAGGAGCGAAAAGGGUGGGGAGCAAAACAGGCUUAGAUACCCUGGUAGUCCACCCCGUAAACGUUGGGAACUAGUUGUGGGGUCCAUUCCACGGAUUCCGUGACGCAGCUAACGCAUUAAGUUCCCCGCCUGGGGAGUACGGCCGCAAGGCU
This 532-nucleotide ribosomal RNA is filed under the name uncultured bacterium. RNAcentral's name for it is "partial 16S ribosomal RNA". It matches the Rfam family "Bacterial small subunit ribosomal RNA", at positions 355 to 895 of the family's 1533-position model. The record is from RNAcentral.